This 210-nucleotide ribosomal RNA is filed under the name Enterobacter hormaechei. RNAcentral's name for it is "partial 23S ribosomal RNA". It matches the Rfam family "Bacterial large subunit ribosomal RNA", at positions 1112 to 1321 of the family's 2925-position model. Lineage: Bacteria; Pseudomonadati; Pseudomonadota; Gammaproteobacteria; Enterobacterales; Enterobacteriaceae. The record is from RNAcentral.
GCAGCCAUCAUUUAAAGAAAGCGUAAUAGCUCACUGGUCGAGUCGGCCUGCGCGGAAGAUGUAACGGGGCUAAACCAUGCACCGAAGCUGCGGCAGCGACACUAUGUGUUGUUGGGUAGGGGAGCGUUCUGUAAGCCGUUGAAGGUGUGCUGUGAGGCAUGCUGGAGGUAUCAGAAGUGCGAAUGCUGACAUAAGUAACGAUAAAGCGGG